RNAcentral lists this unclassified non-coding RNA (244 nucleotides) under Hevea brasiliensis (rubber tree). The record is from RNAcentral. Lineage: Eukaryota; Viridiplantae; Streptophyta; Magnoliopsida; Malpighiales; Euphorbiaceae.
GCGAAUUGGAGUCAAUGCAGCAAAAGAUUGAGUCACAAAUGCGUUCGGGCACAGCUAAGGUUGUUGAAUACUGGGAAGCUAUCUUGAAGCGCCUCCAAAUAUACAAGGCAAAGGCUUGUUUGAGGGAAAUCCAUGCUAAUCUACUGAGGAAGCAUCUAAAACGACUAGAACAUCCUGUUGAGUCUGAACAGGAUUUGGAAAUUCAUAUUGACGUAAAGCCUAAAGAGGAAGACACGGUGCCUAG